UCAGAUUUGGCCAUUAACAUUAAAUAUCUCAAGUUUCUCAGAAGUGCUGAUGUUGGUUUCUGAAUUGAGGUUUCUGAGACUCUGAUAUUCUAGUUUCUACAAUUUUCUACCUUUUUCUCGUCAUCCAAACUCUAUAUAAAACCUCAAUUUCGUUGAGAAGUAAGAAAAAAAAAGAAGGAAACCCACCUACUGUAUAUCUCAAUUAUGCUUUUUAAAGCCUCAAAUUCUCAAAGAUUUCCACCUGGGUGUCUCGUUUUAUCUCUCAAAGGCUUAUUCAUAUUCAAAGAAUCUUCCUUUCUUUGGGGCCUGCUGGUAUUUUCCUUUACUUUCUGAUGAUCCAAACACCAACGCAAGACCUCUAGUUAGCCGAAGAACAAAGCUCUUUUACAUGGGAGUCUCUUUUAAGGUCUCAAAAACUGGCAGAAGGUUCUGUCCAAAGCCCG
Molecule: unclassified non-coding RNA, 443 nt
Filed under: Hevea brasiliensis (rubber tree)
Lineage: Eukaryota; Viridiplantae; Streptophyta; Magnoliopsida; Malpighiales; Euphorbiaceae
Source: RNAcentral